This 247-nucleotide long non-coding RNA is filed under the name Arabidopsis lyrata. RNAcentral describes it as "long non-coding RNA (ALYR_LNC001249)". Lineage: Eukaryota; Viridiplantae; Streptophyta; Magnoliopsida; Brassicales; Brassicaceae. The record is from RNAcentral.
CAACUAUCUUUGAGGCAAUCUCGAAGGGAUUCGUAGAAUAACAUUACAAAAAAAGGAAGAUAAGAGUUAUUAUACCAUGACGUGAGGGGCAAUCCUGACACAGUAAACAGGGAAACCUGAGUAAAAUUUCAGAGGCCCCCCUUCUUUUAAGGUUUUCAUCGCACAAUCAAGUGAACCUGUGUAUGGAUAUUUUCCCUGAGCAUCCGGUUGCAUUUUCUGAAUCUGAGUUUUGACAAAGUCAAAUGGC